This 405-nucleotide ribosomal RNA is filed under the name uncultured bacterium. RNAcentral's name for it is "bacterial SSU rRNA". It matches the Rfam family "Bacterial small subunit ribosomal RNA", at positions 356 to 773 of the family's 1533-position model. The record is from RNAcentral.
GGGGAAUAUUGGACAAUGGGCGAAAGCCUGAUCCAGCAACGCCGCGUGAGGGAUGGAUGCCUUCGGGUUGUAAACCUCUUUCAGCGGGGACGAAGCGCAAGUGACGGUACCCGCAGAAGAAGCACCGGCCAACUACGUGCCAGCAGCCGCGGUAAUACGUAGGGUGCGAGCGUUGUCCGGAAUUAUUGGGCGUAAAGGGCUCGUAGGCGGUCUGUCGCGUCGGGAGUGAAAACACGGGGCUUAACUCCGUGCCUGCUUCCGAUACGGGCAGACUAGAGGUAUGCAGGGGAGAACGGAAUUCCUGGUGUAGCGGUGAAAUGCGCAGAUAUCAGGAGGAACACCGGUGGCGAAGGCGGUUCUCUGGGCAUUACCUGACGCUGAGGAGCGAAAGUGUGGGGAGCGAAC